This 409-nucleotide ribosomal RNA is filed under the name uncultured eukaryote. RNAcentral describes it as "bacterial SSU rRNA". It matches the Rfam family "Eukaryotic small subunit ribosomal RNA", at positions 592 to 1018 of the family's 1831-position model. The record is from RNAcentral.
CAAUAGCGUAUAUUAAAGUUGUUGCAGUUAAAAAGCUCGUAGUUGGACUUCUGGCAGGGCGCCGCGUGCCACAGUAGUGUGCACAAGGGCCCGGCCAUCCUUCUGUAAACGUCGGGGAAGUUUAUUCGUCCGCGGCGGGAUCAGUUAAUUUACCUUGAGAAAAUUAGAGUGUUUCAGGCAGGCGUAGCCGGAAUACAUUAGCAUGGAAUAAUGGAAUAGGACUUAGUCUCUUUGUUGGUUCGAGGGACUGGAGUAAUGAUUAAAAGGGGCAGUCAGGGGCACUCGUAUUCCGUCGAGAGAGGUGAAAUUCUCAGACCAAUGGAAGACGAACCACUGCGAAAGCAUUUGCCAGGGAUGUUUUCACUGAUCAAGAACGAAAGUUAGGGGAUCGAAGAUGAUCAGAUACCAU